UAAUCUUCCUAAAAAAAAAGAAAAAAGAGAAGUGACCAGAGACUCCAUGGGUCUAAUUCUGAUGACCGGAAGCAAGCUCUCCUGAGAUGCUGACUGCACUUCUGAGCCCCCUUCCCCUGCCUGACCCAUCCUGAUCAGGCCGGACACAUACAACAGAUGAGAAUUUUGACGCUUUAAAAUCUGCCACCACCCAGGAGUAUGGUUGAUUUGGACUAGACUGAAAAAUAUAGUUGUUCAGGGAAGCAGGGAGUCCAGCCAAAUUUGAGGUAUGGGCUUCAGAGCACCUGCUCCUCUGGCUGCUUUAAUAUAGCUCCUGGCAAAUCGACCCACUUGUUUACACAGCCUGCCUCACCUCACAGGAUUCUUUGGAGAAUCAAAUGAGAUCCCGAGAGAGUUAGACUCCUACGGUGGAAAGAGCAGUCAGAUGAUCGAAAAUACCUGAAUUCUAAUCCUGGGACUUGACUUAAUUUCUCUGAGUUUUUGUGUUCUUCUCUGCAGAAUGGGGGUAGGAAUAUCCGCUCUGUAUAUCUCACGGAGUUGCUGCACGUAUCACGUGAGACGAUCUAUGUGAACACACUUUUUAGCCCCGAUUCUGUUAUGGACGGAGACUUCCGGUCACUGUUUACUAGGAUGUGGUUUAUGCCAGUUUCUCUCUCCCAGGAGACAGCCCGCAUCACACAGCAUUUCACUCAGCUAUGUGGAUGAGCACUGACAAACUCAAUUUUCCAAAGGCAAGAGUGAGUUGACACCAUGCUGUGGCAGUUGUCCUGAUGGGGACAAAUGACUUGUUUCAUUCCAAGGUGGAACCCACCUUCUCAGAGAAGCACGCUUGCACCUAAGAGUAUGGGAGACAAGGAGGUGA
Non-coding RNA from Equus caballus (horse), 862 nucleotides. The record is from RefSeq and is a predicted model, not a curated record. NCBI's taxonomy places the organism in Eukaryota, Metazoa, Chordata, Mammalia, Perissodactyla, Equidae.